UCUGGAAUAGUGGGAAUUCUCUUGGAAUACAGAGAAUAUCAGUGGAUACAGACGUACUUGAAGAAAAACAGUAGGUGUGAAAGAAUGGCACGGCCAAACAAUCCAUGCCAAAUAAGCACUUUUUGUGGGUGUAUCCCGCUGGAAAGGGGUGUGUUAAUCAUUGGAAUAAUAUCAAUGUUUGUUUCAUUGACGGAGUUGUUCAGGAUCUCGCUUCAUUUUGUUGACUUUGAAUUGUCUCUGAGACAUUGUCAAAGACUCCUGAAAGACCUGAAGAAAGCAGAGGGAGAUAACAAGGUUGACAGCACUAUUGGGAAUGAGACACGUGAUAAAUGUCCUCAUGAAAAUCUAGUGAA
Long non-coding RNA from Penaeus chinensis, 353 nucleotides. RefSeq lists it as uncharacterized. The transcript is spliced from 3 exons. The record is from RefSeq and is a predicted model, not a curated record. Lineage: Eukaryota; Metazoa; Arthropoda; Malacostraca; Decapoda; Penaeidae.